Molecule: unclassified non-coding RNA, 591 nt
Filed under: Penicillium sizovae
Lineage: Eukaryota; Fungi; Ascomycota; Eurotiomycetes; Eurotiales; Aspergillaceae
Description: sequence contains 18S rRNA gene, ITS1, 5.8S rRNA gene, ITS2, 28S rRNA gene
Rfam family: 5.8S ribosomal RNA (bases 219-372)
Source: RNAcentral
GUAACAAGGUUUCCGUAGGUGAACCUGCGGAAGGAUCAUUACCGAGUGAGGGCCCUCUGGGUCCAACCUCCCACCCGUGUUGCACGAACCUGUGUUGCUUCGGCGGGCCCGCCGCCUAGGCCGCCGGGGGGCAUCCGCCCCCGGGCCCGCGCCCGCCGAAGCCCCCCUUCUGAACGCUGUCUGAAGUUGCAGUCUGAGAAACUAGCUAAAUUAGUUAAAACUUUCAACAACGGAUCUCUUGGUUCCGGCAUCGAUGAAGAACGCAGCGAAAUGCGAUAACUAAUGUGAAUUGCAGAAUUCAGUGAAUCAUCGAGUCUUUGAACGCACAUUGCGCCCUCUGGUAUUCCGGAGGGCAUGCCUGUCCGAGCGUCAUUGCUGCCCUCAAGCACGGCUUGUGUGUUGGGCCCCGUCCCCCCCGCGCCGGGGGGACGGGCCCGAAAGGCAGCGGCGGCACCGCGUCCGGUCCUCGAGCGUAUGGGGCUUCGUCACCCGCUCUUGUAGGCCCGGCCGGCGCCAGCCGACCCCCAACCUUUAUAUUUUCUCAGGUUGACCUCGGAUCAGGUAGGGAUACCCGCUGAACCUAAGCAUAUC